UCACUUCGAACUCUAUUUAAGUGAUCAUUAUUUUUAUUAUCAUGUGCAAUUGACUCAGCAUUCAGUUGAGGACUUCAUUCUUCAGAGUAUUUUUCACCCUAAAGAAGCACCACAUAAAAAAGGAUAGUGGUACUUCAGUCCUAAGUAUGGAUGGAAGUUCAUUAUCGAUCUCCCUUUCUCUAUUCAUGGAUGAAAAAGUUGUUUUUUUUUGCUUCAUCGAAUCAACCCUAGAGCUUCA
RNAcentral lists this long non-coding RNA (238 nucleotides) under Elaeis guineensis (African oil palm). Its description in RNAcentral is "long non-coding RNA (EGUI_LNC036317)". Lineage: Eukaryota; Viridiplantae; Streptophyta; Magnoliopsida; Arecales; Arecaceae. The record is from RNAcentral.